RNAcentral lists this ribosomal RNA (497 nucleotides) under uncultured bacterium. Its description in RNAcentral is "partial 16S ribosomal RNA". It matches the Rfam family "Bacterial small subunit ribosomal RNA", at positions 28 to 507 of the family's 1533-position model. The record is from RNAcentral.
GAUGAACGCUGGCGGCGUGCCUAAUACAUGCAAGUCGAGCGAACAGACGAGGAGCUUGCUCCUCUGACGUUAGCGGCGGACGGGUGAGUAACACGUGGAUAACCUACCUAUAAGACUGGGAUAACUUCGGGAAACCGGAGCUAAUACCGGAUAAUAUAUUGAACCGCAUGGUCCAAUAGUGAAAGACGGUUUUACUGUCACUUAUAGAUGGAUCCGCGCCGCAUUAGCUAGUUGGUAAGGUAACGGCUUACCAAGGCAACGAUGCGUAGCCGACCUGAGAGGGUGAUCGGCCACACUGGAACUGAGACACGGUCCAGACUCCUACGGGAGGCAGCAGUAGGGAAUCUUCCGCAAUGGGCGAAAGCCUGACGGAGCAACGCCGCGUGAGUGAUGAAGGUCUUCGGAUCGUAAAACUCUGUUAUUAGGGAAGAACAAAUGUGUAAGUAACUAUGCACGUCUUGACGGUACCUAAUCAGAAAGCCACGGCUAACUACGUG